Molecule: ribosomal RNA, 311 nt
Filed under: uncultured eukaryote
Lineage: Eukaryota
Description: partial 18S ribosomal RNA
Rfam family: Eukaryotic small subunit ribosomal RNA
Source: RNAcentral
CCCCUAGACGUUCUGGGCUGCACGCGCGCUACAAUAAUACGCACAGCGAGUAUCACCGAGCUCGAAAGGGCAAGGUAAACAAUAGAAAAGGUACUGUAAUGGUUAUAGAUCCUUGUAAUUAUUGAUCUUCAACGAGGAAUUCCUAGUAAGUAUGUGUCAUCAUCACGCACUAAUUACGUCCCUGCCCUUUGUACACACCGCCCGUCGCUCCUACCGAUUGAGUGAGCCGAUGAAACUGCCGGAUGUGGACUAUUCAUAGUCUGCAGAAGAUAUUUGAAUCGUAGCGCUUAGAGGAAGGAGAAGUCGUAACA